RNAcentral lists this ribosomal RNA (497 nucleotides) under uncultured bacterium. Its description in RNAcentral is "partial 16S ribosomal RNA". It matches the Rfam family "Bacterial small subunit ribosomal RNA", at positions 28 to 507 of the family's 1533-position model. The record is from RNAcentral.
GAUGAACGCUGGCGGCGUGCCUAAUACAUGCAAGUCGAGCGAACAGACGAGGAGCUUGCUCCUCUGACGUUAGCGGCGGACGGGUGAGUAACACGUGGAUAACCUACCUAUAAGACUGGGAUAACUUCGGGAAACCGGAGCUAAUACCGGAUAAUAUAUUGAACCGCAUGGUUCAAUAGUGAAAGACGGUUUUGCUGUCACUUAUAGAUGGAUCCGCGCCGCAUUAGCUAGUUGGUAAGGUAACGGCUUACCAAGGCAACGAUGCGUAGCCGACCUGAGAGGGUGAUCGGCAACAAUGGAACUGAGACACGGUACAGACUCCUACGGGAGGCAGCAGUGGGGAAUCUUGCGCAAUGGGCGAAAGCCUGACGGAGCAACGCCGCGUGAGUGAAGAAGGUCUUCGGAUCGUAAAACUCUGUUAUUAGGGAAGAAAAAAUGUGUAAGUAACUAUGCACGUCUUGACGGUACCUAAUCAGAAAGCCACGGCUAACUACGUG